AAUCCGGUUGAUCCUGCCGGAGGUCACUGCUAUUGGAGUUCGACUAAGCCAUGCGAGUCGCCAGUUGUGUAAGUACUAGCAAUAGUUCUUCCGCAGCUGGGGCGGACUGCUCAGUAACACGUGGGCAAUCUGCCCUCAGGACAGGGAUAACCUCGGGAAACUGAGGAUAAUACCUGAUAGGCGAAGAAUUCUGGAAUGAUUCUCCGCUCAAAACAAAUGCGCAAGCAUUUGUGCCUGAGGAUGAGCCUGCGGCCGAUUAGGUUGUUGGCGGUAUAGAGGACCACCAAGCCUGAGAUCGGUACGGGCACUGAGAGGUGAAGCCCGGAGAUGGGGGCUGAGACACGGCCCCAGGCCCUACGGGGCGCAGCAG
This 370-nucleotide ribosomal RNA is filed under the name Methanobacteriota archaeon. RNAcentral's name for it is "bacterial SSU rRNA". It matches the Rfam family "Archaeal small subunit ribosomal RNA", at positions 1 to 338 of the family's 1478-position model. The record is from RNAcentral. Lineage: Archaea; Methanobacteriati; Methanobacteriota.